Molecule: long non-coding RNA, 1288 nt
Organism: Helianthus annuus (common sunflower)
Lineage: Eukaryota; Viridiplantae; Streptophyta; Magnoliopsida; Asterales; Asteraceae
Exons: 3
Source: RefSeq, a predicted model, not a curated record
UUCCUUCGAGAUGUCUGCAUCUUUCUACUUCUCCUCUCAUUUCUACGACCAUUGCCCCUCUCAUUAGGUUAGUCUCAAUUUCUUCUCUUUUGUCUUCAUAUGUCGUCAUCAAAAACCAUCGUGUUAAGAAGCUCCGACGGUGAAACAUUCGUGGUUGACGAGGUUGUUGCGGUGGAGUCUCAGACGAUCAAGCACAUGAUCGAAGACGGUUGUGCUGACACCAGCAUCCCUCUGCCCAACGUCACCAGUAAGAUCCUCUCAAAGGUUAUCGAAUACUGUAAGAAACAUGUGGAGACACCGAAUAGUGACGAGAGGUCGCUGAAGAGGAUCUUAAAUCCUUUGAUUCUGACUUUGUGAAAGUCGAUCAGGGUACUUUGUUUGAUCUUAUUCUGGUAUUUCUGAUUCUGACUUCAUCCAGAUUAAGUACUUCAACAAUGGAUUUUGUGGCUGGGAUUGUUUGAAGAUUCUCUAAAGUUCGCUACUGUACUUUUAAGGUAGGUGUUAAGCCCGAAAAUGCAUUAAGACCGUAAACAACCAUAAUUCCGCCGACUAUAAAAAACCUAGAUAUCGCCGCCGCAACGCGCGGCAUCUGGCACCAUCCUAGUACAUAUGGUUUUUAAAGAUAUAACUCUUUUUUAGAUCGAUUCAACAUGUGUAAUAUACGGGGUUUUUAAGGAUGUAAUUUUUUUAUUAUUUGGUAAAUUUAUUCAACCAGAUUAUACACGGGUUUUUCAAAGACACGAUGUUUUUAGUAUUUAGUAUACAAAAUUACAUUUAUUUAAUCUGUGUAAUACAUAUGGAUUUUAAUACAAGAUACAGGGUUUAUAAAGAUAUAGCUUUUUAUUAUUUAAUAUAUAAAAUUACAUUUAUUCAACCCGUGUAAUACACGGGGUUCUAACCUAGUAAUACAAUAUAAGUUAGUCAUACGUUGACUCAUAUUAUUUUCCAAAGUUUAUAUUUACAUUUUUUGUAUGAACGUUAUAUGGGAAUAAUCUCUCAUGUAUCGCUUUUUUUCUUAUAUAUUAACAAAAUGUAUGUUAGAGCUAACAAAUUUCAAUACAUACGAAAAAUAAAGUUUGAGUAGUGAGCACUUUAUUAUCACUAGUAAUAAGACCCGUGCGCGUUGCAACGCGAGGAGAUCGCAAGUAUUGAAUAGACUUGUUUAAGUGUUAGGUAAUGCGUUAAGCAUAUGAAAACGCGUGUUUCGACAUAUGUGAUUGAACUCAAUGUAAUCUAUAUAAGUAUUGCGAUUGGAUCACAACAUAAAGUAAAUUGAAUCUUUCUCGUA